GUAAUACGGAGGGGGUUAGCGUUGUUCGGAAUUACUGGGCGUAAAGCGUACGUAGGCGGAUUAGUCAGUCAGAGGUGAAAUCCCAGGGCUCAACCCUGGAACUGCCUUUGAUACUGCUAGUCUUGAGUUCGAGAGAGGUGAGUGGAAUUCCAAGUGUAGAGGUGAAAUUCGUAGAUAUUUGGAGGAACACCAGUGGCGAAGGCGGCUCACUGGCUCGAUACUGACGCUGAGGUACGAAAGUGUGGGGAGCAAACAGGAUUAGAUACCCUGGUAGUCCACACCGUAAACGAUGAAUGCCAGUCGUCGGGCAGUAUACUGUUCGGUGACACACCUAACGGAUUAAGCAUUCCGCCUGGGGAGUACGGUCGCAAGAUUAAAACUCAAAG
This 386-nucleotide ribosomal RNA is filed under the name uncultured bacterium. RNAcentral's name for it is "bacterial SSU rRNA". It matches the Rfam family "Bacterial small subunit ribosomal RNA", at positions 520 to 906 of the family's 1533-position model. The record is from RNAcentral.